GGGUUGUGAGGUUAAGCGACUAAGCGUACACGGUGGAUGCCCUGGCAGUCAGAGGCGAUGAAGGACGUGCUAAUCUGCGAUAAGCGUCGGUAAGGUGAUAUGAACCGUUAUAACCGGCGAUUUCCGAAUGGGGAAACCCAGUGUGUUUCGACACACUAUCAUUAACUGAAUCCAUAGGUUAAUGAGGCGAACCGGGGGAACUGAAACAUCUAAGUACCCCGAGGAAAAGAAAUCAACCGAGAUUCCCCCAGUAGCGGCGAGCGAACGGGGAGCAGCCCAGAGCCUGAAUCAGUGUGUGUGUUAGUGGAAGCGUCUGGAAAGGCGCGCGAUACAGGGUGACAGCCCCGUACACAAAAAUGCACAUGCUGUGAGCUCGAUGAGUAGGGCGGGACACGUGGUAUCCUGUCUGAAUAUGGGGGGACCAUCCUCCAAGGCUAAAUACUCCUGACUGACCGAUAGUGAACCAGUACCGUGAGGGAAAGGCGAAAAGAACCCCGGCGAGGGGAGUGAAAAAGAACCUGAAACCGUGUACGUACAAGCAGUGGGAGCACGCUUCGGCGUGUGACUGCGUACCUUUUGUAUAAUGGGUCAGCGACUUAUAUUCUGUAGCAAGGUUAACCGAAUAGGGGAGCCGAAGGGAAACCGAGUCUUAACUGGGCGUUAAGUUGCAGGGUAUAGACCCGAAACCCGGUGAUCUAGCCAUGGGCAGGUUGAAGGUUGGGUAACACUAACUGGAGGACCGAACCGACUAAUGUUGAAAAAUUAGCGGAUGACUUGUGGCUGGGGGUGAAAGGCCAAUCAAACCGGGAGAUAGCUGGUUCUCCCCGAAAGCUAUUUAGGUAGCGCCUCGUGAAUUCAUCUCCGGGGGUAGAGCACUGUUUCGGCAAGGGGGUCAUCCCGACUUACCAACCCGAUGCAAACUGCGAAUACCGGAGAAUGUUAUCACGGGAGACACACGGCGGGUGCUAACGUCCGUCGUGAAGAGGGAAACAACCCAGACCGCCAGCUAAGGUCCCAAAGUCAUGGUUAAGUGGGAAACGAUGUGGGAAGGCCCAGACAGCCAGGAUGUUGGCUUAGAAGCAGCCAUCAUUUAAAGAAAGCGUAAUAGCUCACUGGUCGAGUCGGCCUGCGCGGAAGAUGUAACGGGGCUAAACCAUGCACCGAAGCUGCGGCAGCGACACUGUGUGUUGUUGGGUAGGGGAGCGUUCUGUAAGCCUGUGAAGGUGUGCUGUGAGGCAUGCUGGAGGUAUCAGAAGUGCGAAUGCUGACAUAAGUAACGAUAAAGCGGGUGAAAAGCCCGCUCGCCGGAAGACCAAGGGUUCCUGUCCAACGUUAAUCGGGGCAGGGUGAGUCGACCCCUAAGGCGAGGCCGAAAGGCGUAGUCGAUGGGAAACAGGUUAAUAUUCCUGUACUUGGUGUUACUGCGAAGGGGGGACGGAGAAGGCUAUGUUGGCCGGGCGACGGUUGUCCCGGUUUAAGCGUGUAGGCUGGUUUUCCAGGCAAAUCCGGAAAAUCAAGGCUGAGGCGUGAUGACGAGGCACUACGGUGCUGAAGCAACAAAUGCCCUGCUUCCAGGAAAAGCCUCUAAGCAUCAGGUAACAUCAAAUCGUACCCCAAACCGACACAGGUGGUCAGGUAGAGAAUACCAAGGCGCUUGAGAGAACUCGGGUGAAGGAACUAGGCAAAAUGGUGCCGUAACUUCGGGAGAAGGCACGCUGAUAUGUAGGUGAAGUCCCUCGCGGAUGGAGCUGAAAUCAGUCGAAGAUACCAGCUGGCUGCAACUGUUUAUUAAAAACACAGCACUGUGCAAACACGAAAGUGGACGUAUACGGUGUGACGCCUGCCCGGUGCCGGAAGGUUAAUUGAUGGGGUCAGCGCAAGCGAAGCUCUUGAUCGAAGCCCCGGUAAACGGCGGCCGUAACUAUAACGGUCCUAAGGUAGCGAAAUUCCUUGUCGGGUAAGUUCCGACCUGCACGAAUGGCGUAAUGAUGGCCAGGCUGUCUCCACCCGAGACUCAGUGAAAUUGAACUCGCUGUGAAGAUGCAGUGUACCCGCGGCAAGACGGAAAGACCCCGUGAACCUUUACUAUAGCUUGACACUGAACAUUGAGCCUUGAUGUGUAGGAUAGGUGGGAGGCUUAGAAGUGUGGACGCCAGUCUGCAUGGAGCCGACCUUGAAAUACCACCCUUUAAUGUUUGAUGUUCUAACGUUGACCCGUAAUCCGGGUUGCGGACAGUGUCUGGUGGGUAGUUUGACUGGGGCGGUCUCCUCCUAAAGAGUAACGGAGGAGCACGAAGGUUGGCUAAUCCUGGUCGGACAUCAGGAGGUUAGUGCAAUGGCAUAAGCCAGCUUGACUGCGAGCGUGACGGCGCGAGCAGGUGCGAAAGCAGGUCAUAGUGAUCCGGUGGUUCUGAAUGGAAGGGCCAUCGCUCAACGGAUAAAAGGUACUCCGGGGAUAACAGGCUGAUACCGCCCAAGAGUUCAUAUCGACGGCGGUGUUUGGCACCUCGAUGUCGGCUCAUCACAUCCUGGGGCUGAAGUAGGUCCCAAGGGUAUGGCUGUUCGCCAUUUAAAGUGGUACGCGAGCUGGGUUUAGAACGUCGUGAGACAGUUCGGUCCCUAUCUGCCGUGGGCGCUGGAGAACUGAGGGGGGCUGCUCCUAGUACGAGAGGACCGGAGUGGACGCAUCACUGGUGUUCGGGUUGUCAUGCCAAUGGCACUGCCCGGUAGCUAAAUGCGGAAGAGAUAAGUGCUGAAAGCAUCUAAGCACGAAACUUGCCCCGAGAUGAGUUCUCCCUGACUCCUUGAGAGUCCUGAAGGAACGUUGAAGACGACGACGUUGAUAGGCCGGGUGUGUAAGCGCAGCGAUGCGUUGAGCUAACCGGUACUAAUGAACCGUGAGGCUUAACCUUACAACGCCGAAGGUGUUU
RNAcentral lists this ribosomal RNA (2930 nucleotides) under Escherichia coli. RNAcentral's name for it is "23S ribosomal RNA". It matches the Rfam family "Bacterial large subunit ribosomal RNA". Lineage: Bacteria; Pseudomonadati; Pseudomonadota; Gammaproteobacteria; Enterobacterales; Enterobacteriaceae. The record is from RNAcentral.